UAUAUAUAUUAUCUCCUUAAAAUUUAAAAAAAAAUAAAAAAUUACGACGUUAAUAAAAAAGGCAAAAUUAUCAAAUUGCCAUUACAUGUUCUAUAUAAAUAAACAAUAAUAUAUUUGUGUCAUUUUUAAAAAUAUUUUCAGUAUAAAUUAUAAGAAACGAACGAAAUAGUCACUGAGUCCUGGCGGAGAGAGAUUAAAUGCAUAAACUUGAAAUUUUAAAUAGUAAAAUGUAGAUUUUUAAAAGUAAAAAAAAAAAGAAAGAAUAUUUACAAAAAAAAAAUUCUAUAUUUUAGCCUAAAAAUUUAUUAAAUUUAAUAAUUAGUUAUAAGUUAAUGCUUUAAAUUUGAAUUUUUAUUUCAUAAAAUGUAAAAAGUUACAGGGGUUAUUAAUUAAUUAAUGGGUUAAUUGCGUACAAGUCUCCGCAAACAUGAUGAAUUACAGAUAUAUUCUUAUAAAGUUAAACUUUUAUAAGUUAUCCUUACAAAAGUUCUAAUGUAUUCAGAUAUGUCCAUGCCGUUAGAAUGCAUUAGAAAAUUUUAAUUAACCAUAGGUUAAAUAUUUUAUCCGGAUUAAUUUUUAAUAUUUUUAUCCCUCUUAUAUUAUACUGUUAUAACCUUUUGAGGGACAUAUUUGUGAUGGCAAAUUAUAAAUAUAAACAGUUUUCUAAUGGUUCUCUAAUAGUAGCAAACCAGAGGAACAUAUUUGAAAAUAUUAGAACUUUUGUAAGAAUAACAUAUGAAAGUUAAAUUUUAUAGGGAUAUAUUUGUAAUUUGUUAUAUUUGCGGGGACCUGUAUGCAAUUAAUCCAAUUAAUUAACACCUGUCGUUUUGCUUAUGUUAAGGGCAUAUUUGUGGUGUAGCGUAUGACGCUAUGCAUGACGUCAUCCAUGACCACAAUCAUAUAAUGUGGUUGCGAAGCGAGUGACGUCACAUCAAUCACGGGUAAAUUUUCAAAAAUGCACCAUCUCAACUUUUAGAAUUUUAACAUAUGACCAUCUCAACUUUUUAUCUUAAUAAUGAUUAAAUUUUUUUUAAAAAAAUUUUAACCUAAUAAUUUAUGUGGUUGAGCGUUUAUUUUUAAUAAAUGUCUUCUCGACAAUUAAAAUUUUCUUAAAAAAGCGUAAAAAAAUUGAAGAUGAAUUCAUCUUAUUUUUUAAUCAUAAUACUUUAUUUUUUUCAUUUGCAAAAAAUAGAAAAAAAGAGUUACAAACACGUUCUGAAUUUCAAAAAGUUUUUGCAUAAGCAAUCAGAACUUCUAAUUAAAUAUUUAUUCUCAACAAACUUUCGGGACGUGAUUUUACGAAGCUGCAUGCGAAACACAUUGAACCAACUUUUCUAUUUUGAUGCUUCUUUAAGGGAAAAAAAUUGAAGAUUGAUUCAAGCUUACUUGUCGAUAAAGUUUACAGAGUCCAAAUAUAAAAAAAUGAAAAAUUCAGAAAAUAAUUUGACGAAGAUCUAGAAGUUUAGGAUGUGUUUAAUUAUACAUUUAUCCCAAAAGGGGGGAAGAAGAUGUAGCUUUCUUAGGAAGCAAAUUUGAAGUGGUAAUUAAAAUAAGCAAGCAUAGGUGGCUUACUAAAGUCCCAUUCAAGCUAAGCAUUUGGUUUUAGGUAAACAUCCCAAUACAUUCCAUCUCUAAUAAAAGAGUCAACCCAUGUGCCCCAAAUAUGUUGCUUGCUUUAAUAAAAAAACUUUUAAAAUAGAGAAAACCUCAAAAACCCCUCAUGUGAUUUCGCACUUUCUCACUUUAAUAUCCUGUGGUUUAAAGUGUAUCAAAUUAGUACUCUGUGGUUUUAUUUUUGUAUCAAGUUAGUACCCUGUGAUUUUUAAACCACAGGAUACUAAAGUGAGAAAGUGCGAAACCAUAGGGUACUAAAGUGAGAAAGUGCGUAACCACAGGGUACUAACUUGAUACACGUUAAACCACAGGGUACUAAAGUGAAAAAGUACAAAACCAGGGGGUAGUAACUUGAUAUACUUUAAACCAUAGGGUACUAAAAAAAAAAAGUGCGAAACCACAUGCAGGGUAUUUGAAGUUUUCCCUUUAAAAUAUACUCCAUCUUGUUUUAUUUGUUUGGUAACAAUUCUUUACUUUAUUGAUUAUCUGUAUUUUUCUAUAUUAUUGUUUCACGAUUCACUCUUCUCACUCUCUUAUUAUCGCUAAAAUUGUUGGAAGUAUGAUUUACUCUGGUAGCAAUUGUUGGAAGUAUGAUUUACUCUGGUAGCAAUUGUUGGAAUCGAUACUAUUUGUGCUGAUACCUAUUAUAUAACCCAAUAUCUAAAAUAGAACAAAAUAAUAUGAAAAAGAAAUAUUGGAGGAGUUAGAAAAUAACUAAACUAAUAUUUUAUUAAUAAAAGGUAAUUAAUUAUAUUAUGGACAACAUCCAUGCAGUUAUGUUUACUGUGGCUNUGAAAAUAAUAAUCCAAACUUAAUUAAAAUAUAGUUAGAUAUAAGUUUAAAUCUUUUAUUUGAUUAUGAUUAGAAUUUGUAGUUAUUCAAAGUAAAAGGUAAUUAAUUAUAUUAUGGACAACAUCCAUGCAGUUAUGUUUACUGUGGCUUAUUCUUCUAAUUAACCCAUGCCUAACUAUAUAUAUAGCUAUCAACUCAUAACAGAUGAUAAAUCUAACUUUUACUUUGAAUAACUACAAAUUCUAAUCAUAAUCAAAUAAAAGAUUUAAACUUAUAUCUAACUAUAUUUUAAUUAAGUUUGGAUUAUUAUUUUCAACAAAAAUAGAAAAAAAAAUAGUUUGAAAGUGGCACCACAUCAUCACUCACCCAAUCAGCGGAAUUAUGCUCCUCAGGUCACCCAUCUCAUCAUAACUACAAAAAAAAGAGGAAACUUCAAAUAUCCUUCCCGUGGUUUCACACUUUCUCAUUUUUGUAUUCUGUGGUUUAAAAUGUAUAUCAAGUUAGUACCCUAUGAUUUCGCACUUUCUCACUUUAGUACCCUGCGGUUUCAAGUGUAUUAUAUUAGUACCCUGUGGUUUCAUUUUUGUAUCAAGUUAGUAUUUUGUGGUUUUAAUUUUCUCUUUUUAUUAUCUAUUUCGGGGUAUAUAAUUUAACGAAAUAUUAAACCACAGGGUACUAAAGUGAGAAAGUGCGAAACCACAGGGUAUUAACUUGAUACACUUGAAACCAUAGGAUACUAAAGGAAAAAAAAAGUGCGAAACCACAAGGCAGGUAUUUGAAGUUUCGCCCAAAAAAAAUUAUUGUACCUAGGAGUCAUAGAUGGUACGAUGUAAUUGCGACACAGAAGACCUUUUCCUAAAAUAGUUAUGAGACAUGCAGAAGAGAGGAAGAUAAAAAGAUAGAUAAGAAUAAGAAUAUUUUACAAUAAAAAAUUAUCAUAUAACAAGUUAAAAUUAAUUCAUAAAAUGGGUUAAGAUGCACUUCUCGGUUUUGAAACUAUGAGGCGCGUGACACUUUAGUACUCAAAUUUUAAUUUGCUAUAAUUUUUGGCUCAAAUUUUAUGACUAAUUGGAAGCAAGUUCCGCGAUCUAAUUUUAUUGGGUAAAUAUUGACGUGUUGCUCACGCGGAAGUACAGUGACAUUUUAAUUAUUAUCGUCUCGUUACUUAUAAUACUGCAGCAAUUGAGAAGAGUAACUUUACACAAAAGAUAACCUUGUCUCUUUAAAUAUUUUUUAAACAAAAAAAUAUAUAUUUUUACAUCGAAAGUAAUCUUAUCAUCAUAUAUAUAAAAUAAUAAAAUUUUAAAAGUUAUUUAUCAACUGCAUAUAACCAAACAAAUUAUUUAUAGUUACAGCGCUUUCUAUUACAUCUAAUCAAAUAUGAUACAUGUAUUUAUAACUGUUGUAUUUUCAACUGCAUGUAUUUUUAACUAUAUAUAUUGCAUUUAUAAUUACAUUUAACCAAACGGUCCCUAAUAAACUUAUAGUUUGUAAAUUUUUAUCAAAAAUAAAUAUACUUUUUAUUUAAUAAACGUGCAAAAGACAAGUUAAAAAAAUAAUGAAAUAAUAAACACGCAUGACAUGAGAUAGCAAUAGCCACCUCUCUUCCACGCAUCCAUCCCCUAAUCCCCCCUAUCUCUCUAUCUCCUCCCAAUCCGCUCUGAUACCGACACUCUCUCUUUUCCAUCUCAACCCGCUCUGAUACCGACACAACGAGCUUUGUCUCUCAUAUCGAGGAAGAUUCUCACAUUUGCCACGUCAUCACCCUCGCUCACUCCUAAUCCCACGCCACCCCAAAAAUCACCCUAGCUAAUAAAAAACUUUUGUUUAAUUUAUUAUUAUAAUAAUUAUUAUUAGCUCUAAUUUUUAGAAUUGUUGCUGUUAAGUUCUAUGAGUUAAUGUGGAUGUGGAAGUGAGUGAUGUAGGAUUUAGUAUUGUGAUUGAUUAAACGAUAUUAGUUUUUCAUUAGCAGGGCGUUAAUAACUAGUCGAUUAAUUUUUGAGAACUAAAGCGUCACCCAUUUCAUAGCUUGGGUACAAAAUGUGCAAGUUUAGUUCUUUUAACAUUACUAAUGUUAGUUUUUAUGGUUUGAACCUUUAAACAUGCUUACGGAUUAAAAAACAAAAGAAUUGUUGUGCCAACUACGGUGUCAACAAGCCGAACACGAGCGAGCUGAGACCGGCUCGAGCUGAAUACGAGCUGGUUUGUUAAAAUAUCAAGUCGAAAAAUUCAGCUCGUGUUCUGCUCGUUUAUUAACGAGCAAAACACCAAAUUAAAAGAAUUAUAAAGAAUAUGUAUAAAAAAUAAAUUUAUGAGAUCUUACCGAUUUUACUUUGAUCUAAUAGUUGAAAUUUUACAUAUAAAUGUUUCUUUUCUAAUUAAGUUGGGCUUUAUAUUUAGGUUAAGUUAAAAACCAAUUAUAUAUAUAUACACACUUGUAUUCGAGCUGUUAUUGAGCUGAACACGAGCGAGUUGACCCUAGCUCGUGUUCGACUCGUUUAUUAAACGAGUGAUUCGAUCUUUCUUUCAGUAUUAAAUCAUUAUUUUGUGAGAAAAUCAUCUCCAUAAUAAAAGAAUAAUAAUACAAUAUAAUAAAAUAAUAAUAAUAAUAAUAAUAAUAAGAAAAUAGCAUGAGAUGUGUUAGAUGCUACUUAGGGGCUUAGUAAAUUAAAAAAUAUAUAUCUUUUGUUCUCCCUAUAAGGUCAGAAUUUAGGAUUUAUUGAAUUUCUAGAAAGAAAAAUAAAAGUAUCAGACAUAUUCUGCUACAAAUGGUAAAAUUUCCAGUGACCCAAAAAAUUCGUGCCCUUUUUACGGGAACACGUGAGGAAAAAUUUGAUUGCCAUAUGUCACUUUUAUUAUUAUCUAAAAAUUAAUAUCCUUAAAUUUGAUAUUAAAAAAUGUUUAAUAAACUGUUCGAUAGAGACAAAUCUAAAACGUAACAGAUGAGAGUCUCCAAUAAAUUCUAGAAUGUACCAGUCAUAUUAUUGACAUAAUAUUCCCAGCUAAUAGAGUAGUAUAAUCUUUUUAUUGUACUAUUCUCUUUAGGGAUGUCAACGAGCCGAGCACAUGCGAGUUAGGGUCGGCUCGUGCACAAAUUGACUCGUUAAAAUAUCGAGUCGAAAAAUUUAACUUAUGUUCAACUUAUUAAUAAACGAGCCGAGCACAAGUUGACCAACGAGCUGGCCAACGAAUAAUAAGUUAAAUGAAUUAGAUUGGAUAUCUAUAAAAAAUAAAUUUAUAAAAUCUUACCCAUUAAAACUUGAUCGAAUGGUUGAAACUUUACAUAUGAAUAAGUCUUUUUAUAAUUGAGCUUGCAUUUAUAUUUUUUUUUUACUAAAAAUUAAAUAAUAAAAAAAAUAUAUAUAUUACAUAUAUAAUUAUUUAUCUAUAUAUAUAAAUAUAAAUUAAAUAAAUUAUAUACAUAUAAAAUAUAUGUAUUCGAGUUAUUAUUGAACCUAACAUGAGCGAGUCGACCCCAGCUCGUGUUUGACUUGUUUAUUAAACGAGCAGAAAAAAUUCAACUCAUGUUCCACUGGUCUACUAAACGAGCUAUUCGAUCUUGAAAUCAUUUCGAGCCAAAUAGGAGCUGGUUUGUCGCCCUAAAUCUCUGAAGAAGAGAAAUACGAUUGAUUUGUUACUAAUGAUGAGAUACAAAUAUGAUACAGUAAACUUUUUUUUUCCUCAUGGCAAAAUAGA
This 6102-nucleotide long non-coding RNA is filed under the name Ananas comosus (pineapple). Its description in RNAcentral is "long non-coding RNA (ACOM_LNC030960)". The record is from RNAcentral. Lineage: Eukaryota; Viridiplantae; Streptophyta; Magnoliopsida; Poales; Bromeliaceae.